RNAcentral lists this ribosomal RNA (747 nucleotides) under Enterococcus sp. M381. RNAcentral's name for it is "bacterial SSU rRNA". It matches the Rfam family "Bacterial small subunit ribosomal RNA", at positions 48 to 766 of the family's 1533-position model. RNAcentral also lists the same sequence under 1 other name. Lineage: Bacteria; Bacillati; Bacillota; Bacilli; Lactobacillales; Enterococcaceae. The record is from RNAcentral.
GCUAUACAUGCAAGUCGUACGCUUCUUUUUCCACCGGAGCUUGCUCCACCGGAAAAAGAGGAGUGGCGAACGGGUGAGUAACACGUGGGUAACCUGCCCAUCAGAAGGGGAUAACACUUGGAAACAGGUGCUAAUACCGUAUAACAAUCGAAACCGCAUGGUUUUGAUUUGAAAGGCGCUUUCGGGUGUCGCUGAUGGAUGGACCCGCGGUGCAUUAGCUAGUUGGUGAGGUAACGGCUCACCAAGGCCACGAUGCAUAGCCGACCUGAGAGGGUGAUCGGCCACAUUGGGACUGAGACACGGCCCAAACUCCUACGGGAGGCAGCAGUAGGGAAUCUUCGGCAAUGGACGAAAGUCUGACCGAGCAACGCCGCGUGAGUGAAGAAGGUUUUCGGAUCGUAAAACUCUGUUGUUAGAGAAGAACAAGGAUGAGAGUAACUGUUCAUCCCUUGACGGUAUCUAACCAGAAAGCCACGGCUAACUACGUGCCAGCAGCCGCGGUAAUACGUAGGUGGCAAGCGUUGUCCGGAUUUAUUGGGCGUAAAGCGAGCGCAGGCGGUUUCUUAAGUCUGAUGUGAAAGCCCCCGGCUCAACCGGGGAGGGUCAUUGGAAACUGGGAGACUUGAGUGCAGAAGAGGAGAGUGGAAUUCCAUGUGUAGCGGUGAAAUGCGUAGAUAUAUGGAGGAACACCAGUGGCGAAGGCGGCUCUCUGGUCUGUAACUGACGCUGAGGCUCGAAAGCGUGGGG